GCCCAGGUGGCGGAAUUGGUAGACGCGCUACGUUCAGGUCGUAGUGUCCGCAAGGACGUGAAGGUUCGACUCCUUUUCUGGGUA
Molecule: transfer RNA, 84 nt
Filed under: Bacteroidota bacterium
Lineage: Bacteria; Pseudomonadati; Bacteroidota
Description: Bacteroidetes bacterium (hydrothermal vent metagenome) tRNA-Leu
Rfam family: tRNA
About the family: Transfer RNA (tRNA) molecules are approximately 80 nucleotides in length. Their secondary structure includes four short double-helical elements and three loops (D, anti-codon, and T loops).
Source: RNAcentral